UAUUGUCUCCUUCCCAUCCCUUCUUCCAGUGGGUGCAGAAAGUGCCUCUUCCUCUCCUGGUGGACCAGUUUUCCCUUCAGGAUCCUUAUGUAUCCCUGGCUUGCCUGGAAUUUGCUACUAGACCUAGAUAGCCUGGAACUCAGAGAUCCAUCUCCCUCUGCCUGUCAUCAUACCCGGCAAGCAUUUUUCCCCCUCUAUUAAAGGUAAUACGCCACCAAUAACCAAUAUUCCAUAAACCUCUCCCAUCCUGCUACCCCAUGUAUGUGCUAUCUGCCAACCCUUGGAUACUCCUGAGACUUCUGAUCACAAUCUUCUUUUUCUCAGCAAUUAUGAAUUAGUCAAUCACACCACAUUCUGACGUCCAGCUCCCACCAAUGGGGUAAGGGACAGUCAUGGUCUGUGUUACCACAAAAUAAGUGAACUUCCUGUCUGGUGUGCUUCCUAUUGGGUGUGUGCUGGAGCACUCUGCUUUGAUAGGCUGGUUUCAAUUCUUCCUGUGUUUGUGAGACACUGAGAAUAUUCUCCAACAACACUCACAGUAGAGUAUGGUGUCUUGCUUUCUCUUCUGUUAUUAAAUUUCCUGAAUUCUGGGCACUUUCUCAAAUCUUCAAAAUGAUAAAAUAGAGGGUGCAGACAGAGCUCUUUGAAGCCAGAAGAGUCAUUUAACCUCAGACAUUAUGGUAGUUAAGAAAGAGGGAUGGGGGGAUUUCAGACAAGUCUGGAGACUUAGAGGGCUCCCACAGCCUCUAGGGGCUUCUCUGUGUCCUCUUCAACACCUCUCUGUCUUCAUUUCCACUCAGGGUUGGGAUAUUUGGUGCUGGAAGCUGAGAGUUGGGAGUCUUCAAGGGAACGGGUAUAGUAAGGUACAGAUCUGAAUAUUAAGAUGGAGACAGUCCACUGCUCCUUCCUGUUGGGAGAUUCCUGGUGCCUCCCUCUUCCCUGUUUCUGAAAACUCCAUACAAGAUCCCAGCUCCAUUUUGAGAAGAACCAAAUUGUCUCUACAGGGAUGCCAUCAGUGGGGGCAUGCUUUUGGUUCCUUAUCAACUACACUGUCCUCUUUCUGAGAUUACUCCUGGCUUUUUGUGGUGUCCUGACUCCUUCCCUCAGGCUGUGCUCAUAGGCCCACACCAGAGAGCAGAAAACAAAACAAAACAAACAAAACAAACAACCCCCCAAUCUUAAAAUGUUGUCAUUGUGAAUCUACGAGCACACAGCUGUCAUCACAGAACCCAAGGGUGAGGGGGUGGAAGGCAGGGGGUCAGUAGCUCAAAGUCACCCUUAGUUUCUUAUCAAGUUUAAGGGCAUUCUCAGCUGCAUGUGAACUUGUCUCAAAAUAUUAAAAACUAGAAUAAAAAAUAAAAGUGAA
Long non-coding RNA from Mesocricetus auratus (golden hamster), 1366 nucleotides. RefSeq lists it as uncharacterized. The record is from RefSeq and is a predicted model, not a curated record. The transcript has 2 exons. NCBI's taxonomy places the organism in Eukaryota, Metazoa, Chordata, Mammalia, Rodentia, Cricetidae.